GGUUUGAUCGUGGCUCAGGAUGAACGCUGGCGGCGUGCCUAACACAUGCAAGUCGAACGGAGUUCUUAAGGAAUGCGACUUCGGUCAGAUGACUUUUGAACUUAGUGGCGGACGGGUGAGUAACGCGUGAGCAACCUGCCUUUCAGAGGGGGAUAACAUUUGGAAACAGAUGCUAAUACCGCAUAAGAUUACAGUACCGCAUGAUACAGUGAUCAAAGGAGCAAUCCGCUGAAAGAUGGGCUCGCGUCCGAUUAGAUAGUUGGUGAGGUAACGGCUCACCAAGUCGACGAUCGGUAGCCGGACUGAGAGGUUGAACGGCCACAUUGGGACUGAGACACGGCCCAGACUCC
RNAcentral lists this ribosomal RNA (350 nucleotides) under uncultured bacterium. RNAcentral's name for it is "bacterial SSU rRNA". It matches the Rfam family "Bacterial small subunit ribosomal RNA", at positions 10 to 339 of the family's 1533-position model. The record is from RNAcentral.